GAUGAACGCUGGCGGCGUGCCUAAUACAUGCAAGUCGAGCGAACGGACGAGAAGCUUGCUUCUCUGAUGUUAGCGGCGGACGGGUGAGUAACACGUGGAUAACCUACCUAUAAGACUGGGAUAACUUCGGGAAACCGGAGCUAAUACCGGAUAAUAUUUUGAACCGCAUGGUUCAAAAGUGAAAGACGGUCUUGCUGUCACUUAUAGAUGGAUCCGCGCUGCAUUAGCUAGUUGGUAAGGUAAUGGCUUACCAAGGCAACGAUGCAUAGCCGACCUGAGAGGGUGAUCGGCCACACUGGAACUGAGACACGGUCCAGACUCCUACGGGAGGCAGCAGUAGGGAAUCUUCCGCAAUGGGCGAAAGCCUGACGGAGCAACGCCGCGUGAGUGAUGAAGGUCUUCGGAUCGUAAAACUCUGUUAUUAGGGAAGAACAUAUGUGUAAGUAACUGUGCACAUCUUGACGGUACCUAAUCAGAAAGCCACGGCUAACUACGUGCCAGCAGCCGCGGUAAUACGUAGGUGGCAAGCGUUAUCCGGAAUUAUUGGGCGUAAAGCGCGCGUAGGCGGUUUUUUAGUCUGAUGUGAAAGCCCACGGCUCAACCGUGGAGGGUCAUUGGAAACUGGAAAACUUGAGUGCAGAAGAGGAAAGUGGAAUUCCAUGUGUAGCGGUGAAAUGCGCAGAGAUAUGGAGGAACACCAGUGGCGAAGGCGACUUUCUGGUCUGUAACUGACGCUGAUGUGCGAAAGCGUGGGGAUCAAACAGGAUUAGAUACCCUGGUAGUCCACGCCGUAAACGAUGAGUGCUAAGUGUUAGGGGGUUUCCGCCCCUUAGUGCUGCAGCUAACGCAUUAAGCACUCCGCCUGGGGAGUACGACCGCAAGGUUGAAACUCAAAGGAAUUGACGGGGACCCGCACAAGCGGUGGAGCAUGUGGUUUAAUUCGAAGCAACGCGAAGAACCUUACCAAAUCUUGACAUCCUUUGACAACUCUAGAGAUAGAGCCUUCCCCUUCGGGGGACAAAGUGACAGGUGGUGCAUGGUUGUCGUCAGCUCGUGUCGUGAGAUGUUGGGUUAAGUCCCGCAACGAGCGCAACCCUUAAGCUUAGUUGCCAUCAUUAAGUUGGGCACUCUAAGUUGACUGCCGGUGACAAACCGGAGGAAGGUGGGGAUGACGUCAAAUCAUCAUGCCCCUUAUGAUUUGGGCUACACACGUGCUACAAUGGACAAUACAAAGGGCAGCGAAACCGCGAGGUCAAGCAAAUCCCAUAAAGUUGUUCUCAGUUCGGAUUGUAGUCUGCAACUCGACUACAUGAAGCUGGAAUCGCUAGUAAUCGUAGAUCAGCAUGCUACGGUGAAUACGUUCCCGGGUCU
Molecule: ribosomal RNA, 1371 nt
Filed under: uncultured bacterium
Lineage: Bacteria
Description: bacterial SSU rRNA
Rfam family: Bacterial small subunit ribosomal RNA
Source: RNAcentral